Molecule: ribosomal RNA, 465 nt
Filed under: uncultured bacterium
Lineage: Bacteria
Description: partial 16S ribosomal RNA
Rfam family: Bacterial small subunit ribosomal RNA
Source: RNAcentral
GACGAACGCUGGCGGCGUGCUUAACACAUGCAAGUCGAACGGAAAGGCCCUGCUUGCAGGGUACUCGAGUGGCGAACGGGUGAGUAACACGUGGGUGAUCUGCCCUGCACUUCGGGAUAAGCCUGGGAAACUGGGUCUAAUACCGGAUAGGAGCCAUUUUUAGUGUGAUGGUUGGAAAGUUUUUUCGGUGUAGGAUGAGCUCGCGGCCUAUCAGCUUGUUGGUGGGGUAAUGGCCUACCAAGGCGGCGACGGGUAGCCGGCCUGAGUGGGUGGCCGGCCACAUUGGGACUGAGAGACGGCCCAGACUCCGACGGGAGGCAGCAGUGGGGAAUAUUGCACAAUGGGCGCAGGCCUGAUGCAGCGACGCCGCGUGGGGGAUGACGGCCUUCGGGUUGUAAACUCCUUUCGCUAGGGACGAAGCUUUUUGUGACGGUACCUAGAGAAGAAGCACCGGCUAACUACGUG